RNAcentral lists this ribosomal RNA (253 nucleotides) under uncultured bacterium. RNAcentral's name for it is "partial 16S ribosomal RNA". It matches the Rfam family "Bacterial small subunit ribosomal RNA", at positions 524 to 776 of the family's 1533-position model. The record is from RNAcentral.
UACGGAGGGUGCGAGCGUUAUCCGGAAUUACUGGGUUUAAAGGGUGCGUAGGCGGCUAUGUAAGUCAGGAGUGAAAGUUUGCGGCUCAACCGUAAAAUUGCUUUUGAUACUGCAUGGCUAGAAUUAGGAUGAGGUCAGCGGAAUGUGGCAUGUAGCGGUGAAAUGCAUAGAUAUGCCAUAGAACACCAAUUGCGAAGGCAGCUGGCUAGACCUGGAUUGACGCUGAGGCACGAAAGCGUGGGGAGCGAACAGG